AUGCCCAAUUUUAGUAAAGACUGGAUUUGGUAUUUCCUCCUUCCGUCUACAAAAAUGAUGCUCUGUUUCCCGUGCAAUCAAAUUAUCUCAUGGGUGACUGAUAUUGAUUUUCUAACACAACAUUUUCUUGACGACACAACUUUAGUUAGUAGGUUUUGGAAAGGUCACGAAGUAUCAGUUAUCUACCAUUUAAACCUCCGACUGUAUGAAUCUCUACAUAGCCUCCGUGUUCUCCAUCGUCGAGCAGACGUCUCCAUAUGGUAUGCGUUAAUGACUGGUGUGGCAAUGACGCCGGUCUUACAGAUGGUGCCAGAGGCGGAGGGGCAGCUGCGCGGCUGUACGAGCUACAACAGCAGACUGACAUUUGGCCGGCUGGGAGAACCCAAUUUUAGAGGAGUAGUGCCGCGAAAAAGAUGA
This 417-nucleotide ribosomal RNA is filed under the name Triticum aestivum (bread wheat). Its description in RNAcentral is "partial small subunit ribosomal RNA". The record is from RNAcentral. Lineage: Eukaryota; Viridiplantae; Streptophyta; Magnoliopsida; Poales; Poaceae.